RNAcentral lists this ribosomal RNA (490 nucleotides) under uncultured archaeon. RNAcentral describes it as "bacterial SSU rRNA". It matches the Rfam family "Archaeal small subunit ribosomal RNA", at positions 858 to 1349 of the family's 1478-position model. The record is from RNAcentral.
GGAGGAAUUGGCGGGGGAGCACCGCAACGGGAGGAGCGUGCGGUUUAAUUGGAUUCAACACCGGAAAACUCACCAGCGGCGACUGUUACAUGAAAGUCAGGCCGAUGACCUUACUAGAUUUUCAGAGAGGUGGUGCAUGGCCGUCGUCAGUUCGUACCGUAAGGCGUUCUCUUAAGUGAGAUAACGGACGAGACCCUCACCAAUAGUUGCUACUCCAUCCUCCGGGGUGGAGGCACACUAUUGGGACCGCUGGCGCUAAGUCAGAGGAAGGAGAGGUCAACGGUAGGUCAGUAUGCCCCGAAUCUGCUGGGCUACACGCGCGCUACAAAGGGCGGGACAAUGGGCUCCGACACCGAAAGGUGAAGGUAAUCCCGAAACCCGUCCGUAGUUCGGAUUGAGGGUUGUAACUCACCCUCAUGAAGCUGGAUUCCGUAGUAAUCGCGAAUCAACAACUCGCGGUGAAUAUGCCCCUGCUCCUUGCACACACCGC